UUCUUCACCAGCACCCCUGCUUUUCAGGAAUUCUUCCCCAAGUUCAAGGGGAUGACUUCGGCUGAUCAGCUCAAGAAAUCCGCGGACGUGCGCUGGCACGCCGAGAGGAUCAUCAACGCCGUCAACGAUGCCAUGACGUCCAUGGAUGACACCGAGAAGAUGAGCAUGAAGCUAAGGGAUCGAGUGGCAAGCAUGCCAUAAGCUUCCAGGUGGACCCCCAGUACUCCAAGGUCCUGGCCGCGGUCAUUGCUGACACCGUUGCCGCAGGCGAUGCCGGCUUCGAGAAGCUCAUGAGCAUGAUUUGCAUUCUGCUCAGGUCUGCCUACUAAACCAA
Petromyzon marinus (sea lamprey) is the source of this 334-nucleotide non-coding RNA. NCBI's taxonomy places the organism in Eukaryota, Metazoa, Chordata, Hyperoartia, Petromyzontiformes, Petromyzontidae. The record is from RefSeq and is a predicted model, not a curated record.